Molecule: long non-coding RNA, 370 nt
Filed under: Rattus norvegicus (Norway rat)
Lineage: Eukaryota; Metazoa; Chordata; Mammalia; Rodentia; Muridae
Description: long non-coding RNA NONRATT004515
Source: RNAcentral
AUUUCUGGUCCUCAGGAAAAACCCCUGCAUGGGAUACUUACAAAAAUAGAUUGCAUGCUGUGUCCAGUGGUGUUUUAUUUACACACAUAUUGGUCCAGAUAUGGGGUUUGUUUCCUUGUCCAGCUGCCCAUGCCGGAUGUUUCUUUAGUGGACUGGCUCAACAGUAUCCAGUACUCAACAGGAAUCUAACACAGGAUGGGCGUCUCUCUCAGUUCCUGAGACUGACGAGGGCAAGGAGAGCUAAGGGAUGGGGGAAAUGGUGGCCCCUGGGCAGAAGCUACCAACAAGGGGCUUGCGGCUGCCAGAAAGAAGUGAUGGUGACAUUUGAAACCCACAGGGACAGAAGCCCACCAGUGUGCUGACAGGUGUC